Molecule: ribosomal RNA, 498 nt
Filed under: uncultured bacterium
Lineage: Bacteria
Description: bacterial SSU rRNA
Rfam family: Bacterial small subunit ribosomal RNA
Source: RNAcentral
GAGUUUGAUCCUGGCUCAGGAUGAACGCUGGCGGCGUGCCUAACACAUGCAAGUCGAGCGAAGCGCUAUACUUGAAUUCUUCGGAAGGAAAGUAUUGUGACUGAGCGGCGGACGGGUGAGUAACGCGUGGGUAACCUGCCUCAUACAGGGGGAUAACAGUUAGAAAUGACUGCUAAUACCGCAUAAGACCACAGCACCGCAUGGUGCGGGGGUAAAAACUCCGGUGGUAUGAGAUGGACCCGCGUCUGAUUAGCUAGUUGGUAAGGUAAGGGCUUACCAAGGCGACGAUCAGUAGCCGACCUGAGAGAGUGACCGGCCACAUUGGGACUGAGACACGGCCCAAACUCCUACGGGAGGCAGCAGUGGGGAAUAUUGCACAAUGGGGGAAACCCUGAUGCAGCGACGCCGCGUGAGUGAUGAAGUAUUUCGGUAUGUAAAGCUCUAUCAGCAGGGAAGAAAAUGACGGUACCUGACUAAGAAGCACCGGCUAAAUACGUG